UUAAGCAUAUCAAUAAGCGGAGGAAAAGAAACCAACAGGGAUUGCCCUAGUAACGGCGAGUGAAGCGGCAACAGCUCAAAUUUGAAAUCUGGCGCAAGCCCGAGUUGUAAUUUGUAGAGGAUGCUUCUGGGUAGCGACCGAUCUAAGUUCCUUGGAACAGGACGUCAUAGAGGGUGAGAAUCCCGUAUGUGACCGGCCCGCACCCUUUACGUAGCUCCUUCGACGAGUCGAGUUGUUUGGGAAUGCAGCUCUAAAUGGGAGGUAAAUUUCUUCUAAAGCUAAAUACCGGCCAGAGACCGAUAGCGCACAAGUAGAGUGAUCGAAAGAUGAAAAGUACUUUGGAAAGAGAGUUAAAAAGCACGUGAAAUUGUUGAAAGGGAAGCGCCUGCAACCAGACUUCGCGGCAGUGUUCCGCCGGUCUUCUGACCGGUUCAUUCUCUGUCGCGAGGCCAUCAUCGUCUGGGCCCGCCGGAUAAGACCUUAGGAAUGUAGCUCACCUUCGGGGGAGUGUUAUAGCCUAGGGUGAUGCGGCGAGGCUCGGGCGAGGUCCGCGCUUCGGCAAGGAUGAUGGCGUAAUGGUUGUCGGCGGCCCGUCUUGAAACACGGACCAAGGAGUCUAACAUCUAUGCGAGUGUUCGGGUGUCAAACCCCUACGCGUAAUGAAAGUGAACGGAGGUGGGAACCGCAAGGUGCACCAUCGACCGAUCCUGAUGUCCUCGGAUGGAUUUGAGUAAGAGCAUAGCUGUUGGGACCCGAAAGAUGGUGAACUAUGCCUGAAUAGGGUGAAGCCAGAGGAAACUCUGGUGGAGGCUCGCAGCGGUUCUGACGUGCAAAUCGAUCGUCAAAUUUGGGUAUAGGGGCGAAAGACUAAUCGAACCAUCUAGUAGCUGGUUCCUGCCGAAGUU
Molecule: ribosomal RNA, 905 nt
Filed under: Septoria tormentillae
Lineage: Eukaryota; Fungi; Ascomycota; Dothideomycetes; Mycosphaerellales; Mycosphaerellaceae
Description: LSU rRNA
Rfam family: Eukaryotic large subunit ribosomal RNA
Source: RNAcentral